AUAUUUUUUUCCUGACCGCAUGAGUAUACUCGUAGGUAACCUACCUAUAAGACUGGGAUAACUUCGGGAAACCGGAGCUAAUACCGGAUAAUAUUUCGAACCGCAUGGUUCGAUAGUGAAAGAUGGCUUUGCUAUCACUUAUAGAUGGACCUGCGCCGUAUUAGCUAGUUGGUAAGGUAACGGCUUACCAAGGCAACGAUACGUAGCCGACCUGAGAGGGUGAUCGGCCACACUGGAACUGAGACACGGUCCAGACUCCUACGGGAGGCAGCAGUAGGGAAUCUUCCGCAAUGGGCGAAAGCCUGACGGAGCAACGCCGCGUGAGUGAUGAAGGUCUUCGGAUCGUAAAACUCUGUUAUUAGGGAAGAACAAACGUGUAAGUAACUGUGCACGUCUUGACGGUACCUAAUCAGAAAGCCACGGCUAACUACGUGCCAGCAGCCGCGGUAAUACGUAGGUGGCAAGCGUUAUCCGGAAUUAUUGGGCGUAAAGCGCGCGUAGGCGGUUUUUUAAGUCUGAUGUGAAAGCCCACGGCUCAACCGUGGAGGGUCAUUGGAAACUGGGAAAACUUGGAGUGCAGAAGAGGGAAAGUGGAAUUCCAUGUGUAGCGGUGAAAUGCGCAGAGAUAUGGAGGGAACACCAGUGGCGAA
Molecule: ribosomal RNA, 650 nt
Filed under: bacterium MSSRF.26
Lineage: Bacteria
Description: bacterial SSU rRNA
Rfam family: Bacterial small subunit ribosomal RNA
Source: RNAcentral